CUGAAAAUCUCUUUAAAAUUGAGUCCAUUGGAGCCAGCGUCUCUUUGCUUGCAACCAAAGACUUGGAACUGAGCAUCAGUGAUUUUCACUUCUCCUACCCAUGAGAUCCCAAGCCUUUCCUGUCUGGAAAGAACAAGGCACACUGGGGAGAGCUUACCUGCUGAACCCUGGCCCCCACCUCACCAGCUUCAGAGGUGACUGGUAACAGUGGUCAUCGCCUUAGUCCUCUGGAAGACCAACCAGUGCCUGCCCAGGGUUGGCAAGUGCUGGACGGAUACAUGCUGUCACUGCUGUCCUUCCAU
RNAcentral lists this long non-coding RNA (302 nucleotides) under Homo sapiens (human). Its description in RNAcentral is "HSALNT0068270". The record is from RNAcentral. Lineage: Eukaryota; Metazoa; Chordata; Mammalia; Primates; Hominidae.